UGCAAGCCGAGCGGUAGAGAUCUUUCGGGAUCUUGAGAGCGGCGUACGGGUGCGGAACACGUGUGCAACCUGCCUUUAUCAGGGGGAUAGCCUUUCGAAAGGAAGAUUAAUACCCCAUAAUAUUUUGAAUGGCAUCAUUUGAAAUUGAAAACUCCGGUGGAUAGAGAUGGGCACGCGCAAGAUUAGAUAGUUGGUAGGGUAACGGCCUACCAAGUCAGUGAUCUUUAGGGGGCCUGAGAGGGUGAUCCCCCACACUGGUACUGAGACACGGACCAGACUCCUACGGGAGGCAGCAGUGAGGAAUAUUGGACAAUGGGUGAGAGCCUGAUCCAGCCAUCCCGCGUGAAGGACGACGGCCCUAUGGGUUGUAAACUUCUUUUGUAUAGGGAUAAACCUUUCCACGUGUGGAAAGCUGAAGGUACUAUACGAAUAAGCACCGGCUAACUCCGUGCCAGCAGCCGCGGUAAUACGGAGGGUGCAAGCGUUAUCCGGAUUUAUUGGGUUUAAAGGGUCCGUAGGCGGAUCUGUAAGUCAGUGGUGAAAUCUCAUAGCUUAACUAUGAAACUGCCAUUGAUACUGCAGGUCUUGAGUAAGGUAGAAGUAGCUGGAAUAAGUAGUGUAGCGGUGAAUGCAUAGAUAUUACUUAGACACCAAUUGCGAAGGCGGUACUAUGUCUUAACUGACGCUGAUGGACGAAAGCGUGGG
This 705-nucleotide ribosomal RNA is filed under the name Chryseobacterium ginsenosidimutans. Its description in RNAcentral is "bacterial SSU rRNA". It matches the Rfam family "Bacterial small subunit ribosomal RNA", at positions 56 to 765 of the family's 1533-position model. The record is from RNAcentral. Lineage: Bacteria; Pseudomonadati; Bacteroidota; Flavobacteriia; Flavobacteriales; Weeksellaceae.